RNAcentral lists this unclassified non-coding RNA (520 nucleotides) under uncultured Glomus. RNAcentral describes it as "SSU rRNA". It matches the Rfam family "Eukaryotic small subunit ribosomal RNA", at positions 569 to 1083 of the family's 1831-position model. The record is from RNAcentral. Lineage: Eukaryota; Fungi; Glomeromycota; Glomeromycetes; Glomerales; Glomeraceae.
AGCAGCCGCGGUAAUUCCAGCUCCAAUAGCGUAUAUUAAAGUUGUUGCAGUUAGAAAACUCGUAGUUGAAUUUCGGGAUCAAUUAGUCGGUCGUGCCUCUGGUACGUACUGGUUUUAUUGGUUCCUCCCUUCUGACGAAACAUGAUGUCAUUAAUUUGGUGUCGUGGAGAAUCAGGACUGUUACCUUGAAAAAUUAGAGUGUUUAUAGCAGGCUAACGCUUGAAUACAUUAGCAUGGAAUAAUGAAAUAGGACGUUCGACCCUAUUUUGUUGGUUUCUAGGAUCGACGUAAUGAUUAAUAGGGAUAGUUGGGGGCAUUAGUAUUCAAUUGUCAGAGGUGAAAUUCUUGGAUUUAUUGAAGACUAACUACUGCGAAAGCAUUUGCCAAGGAUGUUUUCAUUAAUCAAGAACGAAAGUUAGGGGAUCGAAGACGAUCAGAUACCGUCGUAGUCUUAACCAUAAACUAUGCCGACUAGGGAUCGGGAUAGAUUAGUUUUAAUUUUUAAUGUACUCUAGUUCGG